AGACCAUAAGUGAAUAGCAUUUUGGAGUGCCGCCAUCUUGAGUGUGGCUGUUGAAAUAUUUUCCUAGAAGAGAGUAAAUAUGCCGGUUUCUGUAUCUCCAGCAAUUCGGUUCUCUAGAUAUGCUGCUUUACUUGUUGGUAUUGGCUAUGGUUACAAAAGAAAUGAAUACCUAAAACCUUAUGGAGCCAAAGACAGAAAACUCCAUGAGAAAAAGCUGAAAGAACAAGCUGAGUUGAAGCGUUUGCGAGAAGCUGCAAAUGAAGG
This is a long non-coding RNA of Xenia sp. Carnegie-2017, 264 nucleotides long. RefSeq lists it as uncharacterized. The transcript is spliced from 3 exons. Lineage: Eukaryota; Metazoa; Cnidaria; Anthozoa; Malacalcyonacea; Xeniidae. The record is from RefSeq and is a predicted model, not a curated record.